This 494-nucleotide ribosomal RNA is filed under the name uncultured bacterium. RNAcentral's name for it is "partial 16S ribosomal RNA". It matches the Rfam family "Bacterial small subunit ribosomal RNA", at positions 28 to 507 of the family's 1533-position model. The record is from RNAcentral.
GACGAACGCUGGCGGCGUGCUUAACACAUGCAAGUCGAACGGUGAAGCGCCUUCCUUUUUGGUGGGUGUGGAUGAGCGGCGAACGGGUGAGUAACACGUGAGUAACCUGCCCCCUUCUUCUGGAUAACCGCAUGAAAGUGUGGCUAAUACGGGAUAUUCUGGGUCUGUCGCAUGAUGGGUCUGGGAAAGAUAUUGUUUCGGUGGGGGAUGGGCUCGCGGCCUAUCAGCUUGUUGGUGGGGUGAUGGCCUACCAAGGCGGUGACGGGUAGCCGGCCUGAGAGGGUGGACGGUCACACUGGGACUGAGACACGGCCCAGACUCCUACGGGAGGCGGCAGUGGGGAAUAUUGCACAAUGGGCGCAAGCCUGAUGCAGCGACGCCGCGUGAGCGAUGGAGGCCUUCGGGUUGUGAACCUCUUUCGCCAGUGAAGCAGGCCUGCCUCGUUUGUGGGUGGGUUGACGGUAGCUGGAUAAGAAGCGCCGGCUAACUACGUG